This 479-nucleotide ribosomal RNA is filed under the name uncultured bacterium. RNAcentral describes it as "SSU rRNA". It matches the Rfam family "Bacterial small subunit ribosomal RNA", at positions 26 to 518 of the family's 1533-position model. The record is from RNAcentral.
AGGAUAAACGCUGGCGGCGUGCCUAACACAUGCAAGUCGAACGCCCUUUUGCUCGCAAGAGCCAGAGGGAGUGGCGGACGGGUGAGUAACACAUGGGUGACCUACCCCACAGUGAGGAAUACCGGCGAGAAAUCGCCGACAAGACCGCAUAGGCUCGGUCCGGUGAAGCGGAGCGAGCAAAGUCUCGCAAGAGACGCUGAGGGAUGGGCCUGUGGCCGAUUAGCUAGUUGGUAAGGUAAAGGCUUACCAAGGCGACGAUCGGUAGCUGGUCUGAGAGGACGAACAGCCACACUGGGAUUGAGAACGGCCCAGACUCCUACGGGGGGCAGCAGUGAGGAAUUUUCCGCAAUGGACGCAAGUCUGACGGAGCAACGCCGCGUGCAGGAGGACGCUUUUCGGAGUGUAAACUGCUUUUCUGUGGGACGAGCGAGGACGGUACACGAGGAAGAAGCCCCGGCUAACUACGUGCCAGCAGCCGC